Molecule: ribosomal RNA, 400 nt
Filed under: uncultured Donghicola sp.
Lineage: Bacteria; Pseudomonadati; Pseudomonadota; Alphaproteobacteria; Rhodobacterales; Roseobacteraceae
Description: bacterial SSU rRNA
Rfam family: Bacterial small subunit ribosomal RNA
Source: RNAcentral
GGGGAAUCUUAGACAAUGGGCGCAAGCCUGAUCUAGCCAUGCCGCGUGAGUGACGAAGGCCUUAGGGUCGUAAAGCUCUUUCGCCAGGGAUGAUAAUGACAGUACCUGGUAAAGAAACCCCGGCUAACUCCGUGCCAGCAGCCGCGGUAAUACGGAGGGGGUUAGCGUUGUUCGGAAUUACUGGGCGUAAAGCGCACGUAGGCGGACUGGAAAGUUGGGGGUGAAAUCCCGGGGCUCAACCUCGGAACUGCCUCCAAAACUACUAGUCUAGAGUUCGAGAGAGGUGAGUGGAAUUCCGAGUGUAGAGGUGAAAUUCGUAGAUAUUCGGAGGAACACCAGUGGCGAAGGCGGCUCACUGGCUCGAUACUGACGCUGAGGUGCGAAAGUGUGGGGAGCAAAC